This 482-nucleotide ribosomal RNA is filed under the name uncultured bacterium. Its description in RNAcentral is "bacterial SSU rRNA". It matches the Rfam family "Bacterial small subunit ribosomal RNA", at positions 1 to 526 of the family's 1533-position model. The record is from RNAcentral.
ACUAGCAGUAAGAGUUUGAUCCUGGCUCAGAACGAACGCUGGCGGCAUGCCUAACACAUGCAAGUCGAACGAGACCUUCGGGUCUAGUGGCGCACGGGUGCGUAACGCGUGGGAAUCUGCCCUUGGGUUCGGAAUAACCAGGAGAAAUCCUGGCUAAUACCGGAUGAUGACGUAAGUCCAAAGAUUUAUCGCCCAAGGAUGAGCCCGCGUAGGAUUAGCUAGUUGGUGAGGUAAAGGCUCACCAAGGCGACGAUCCUUAGCUGGUCUGAGAGGAUGAUCAGCCACACUGGGACUGAGACACGGCCCAGACUCCUACGGGAGGCAGCAGUGGGGAAUAUUGGGCAAUGGGCGAAAGCCUGACCCAGCCAUGCCGCGUGAGUGACGAAGGCCUUAGGGUUGUAAAGCUCUUUUGGCGGGGACGAUAAUGACGGUACCCGCAGAAUAAGCCCCGGCUAACUUCGUGCCAGCCGCCGCGGUAAUAC